AUCCGGAUGACGAGUCCCAAACAGGACGAAAUACGCAUCAUGGAU
Molecule: non-coding RNA, 45 nt
Filed under: Trichobilharzia regenti
Lineage: Eukaryota; Metazoa; Platyhelminthes; Trematoda; Strigeidida; Schistosomatidae
Source: RNAcentral